Molecule: non-coding RNA, 847 nt
Organism: Taeniopygia guttata (zebra finch)
Lineage: Eukaryota; Metazoa; Chordata; Aves; Passeriformes; Estrildidae
Source: RefSeq, a predicted model, not a curated record
UCCACCCUGGAGGGAAGGGAAACAAAAGCACUUUCAGAAGGUCUGAGCCAUGUGCUGCAUCGGGUCUGCUCGCAGCAUCCCUUUGGAAGGGAGUGGGGUUGGAGUCCCUCCUGCAGAGCCUUCCUGCUGCUCACAGGCAGGCAGGACCAAGCAAGGUCGUUUCAGACCUGUUGCAAUUAAACCAAGGAUGAUGAACUACUGCACUGGGGGAACUGUGAAUUUAAUUUAAUUUAACUGUUUUUCUCCCAGGAAACAGCUCCCGUGGUCAGCGUGUGGUCACAGCUGAAAUCCUGUGGUGUUUCUGAUCACACUGGACUGAGCAAGAGGGGACUUUGAGGUUUUCAAGCUCAUACCAGCUCUGCAAAUUUAGCAACUAGACACUUAAGGUCUCUGCAGAGGUCAAGCCCAGGCUUCCCCCACUUUCCUCUGCACCAAUGGAGUAUGGACACCAGUGAGAGGGCAUCCUCUGGGAAUUUGGUACUAAGCAUCAGCUGCCCAUCCAGUGCCACUGAGCCCAGGUAACUCUUGCCUCUGCCCUUCCUCCUUUGCAACACUUUCACCUUCCUGGCCUACACAGAGAAUCUCUGGCCUCUCACCUGCUGCAGCUCUGGUUUAGUCACAAGUUUUAUUCCAAUUAACAGGAUGUCACCUUCCAUCUCUAAAGUGAUUUUGGUGAUUAUCUUUCCUUCAAGGCCCCAAACAAAUUGAUUUCUGUGUGUAAAAUGCAGCCUGUUCCUUCACCUCAGGUUCUUUCAACUGUUAUACAGCAUUACUUAAACAUGCAAUAUUUAAGCUAAAAUAAGUGAAUGUUUUGUUAAGUACUUGAGAUAAAAGCAAUGAAGCUGGA